GAUGAACGCUGGCGGCGUGCCUAAUACAUGCAAGUCGAGCGAACAGACGAGGAGCUUGCUCCUCUGACGUUAGCGGCGGACGGGUGAGUAACACGUGGAUAACCUACCUAUAAGACUGGGAUAACUUCGGGAAACCGGAGCUAAUACCGGAUAAUAUAUUGAACCGCAUGGUUCAAUAGUGAAAGACGGUUUUGCUGUCACUUAUAGAUGGAUCCGCGCCGCAUUAGCUAGUUGGUAAGGUAACGGCUUACCAAGGCAACGAUGCGUAGCCGACCUGAGAGGGUGAUAGGCCACACUGGAGCUGAGACACGGUCCAGGCUACUGCGGGAGGCAGCAGUAGGGAAUCUUACGCAGUGGGCGAAAGCAUGACGGAGUAACGCCGAGUGAGUGAUGAAGGUCUUCGGAUCGUAAAACUCUGUUAUUAGGGAAGAACAAAUGUGUAAGUAACUAUGCACGUCUUGACGGUACCUAAUCAGAAAGCCACGGCUAACUACGUG
RNAcentral lists this ribosomal RNA (497 nucleotides) under uncultured bacterium. Its description in RNAcentral is "partial 16S ribosomal RNA". It matches the Rfam family "Bacterial small subunit ribosomal RNA", at positions 28 to 507 of the family's 1533-position model. The record is from RNAcentral.